GUCGUGAGAUGUUGGGUUAAGUCCCGCAACGAGCGCAACCCUUGCCCUUAGUUACCAGCGAGUAAAGUCGGGGACUCUAGGGGGACUGCCGGUGCCAAACCGGAGGAAGGUGGGGACGACGUCAAGUCAUCAUGGUCCUUACGUCUAGGGCUACACACGUGCUACAAUGGCAGGUACAGAGGGCUGCGAAAGAGCAAUCUGGAGCCAAUCCCUAAAGCCUGCCUCAGUUCGGAUUGUCGUCUGCAACUCGACGGCAUGAAGCUGGAAUCGCUAGUAAUCGUGGAUCAGCGAUGCCACGGUGAAUACGUUCCCGGGCCUUGUACACACCGCCCGUCACGCCAUGGAAGCUGCGAGCGCCCGAAGUCGGUGUCGGAACCCGCAAGGGGUCAAGCCGCCUAAGGCGAGCGCAGUGACUGGGGCGAAGUCGUAACAAGGUAGCCGUAGGGGAACCUGCGGCUGGAUCACCUCCUUUCCGGAGCGAUGAGUAGAACGGCCCUUCGGGUGUCUGUUCGAAAGUCCCGGAUUUUGUCGCCCGCUCUGCACAUUUCAAGUUCUCGGUCUCGAUUGCCAACACGUGUUUACACGCUGUUUGACAACGGAAUUGGGAAGUGAUCGUGGGUACUUCAGUUGAUGCGCGGCCUUCGGGUUGCGGGUCAGCUGUAAGGACGAAGAACCUCAGUGAGGCGCAGUACUGACGUCACCGACGUAAAGGCGGUGAGGUUGGGACGCUGACGCAGCACUUUAGUUUUGUUGUAUGCGCGUGCUUUGCUUGAACAGAUGGGAAAGAGUCAAGCGAACGAAGGUAUGUGGGGGAUGCCUGGGCACAUAGAGGCGAUGAAGGCCGCGGUAAGCUGCGAUAAGCUCGGGGGAGCGGCACACACGCAUUGAUCCCGAGAUGG
This 899-nucleotide small RNA is filed under the name uncultured Gemmatimonas sp. RNAcentral describes it as "bacterial LSU rRNA". The stretch from base 1 to 472 matches the Rfam family "Bacterial small subunit ribosomal RNA", at positions 1064 to 1533 of the family's 1533-position model. The record is from RNAcentral. Lineage: Bacteria; Pseudomonadati; Gemmatimonadota; Gemmatimonadia; Gemmatimonadales; Gemmatimonadaceae.